Molecule: ribosomal RNA, 735 nt
Filed under: Leptolyngbya boryana SBM-IAUF-4
Lineage: Bacteria; Bacillati; Cyanobacteriota; Cyanophyceae; Leptolyngbyales; Leptolyngbyaceae
Description: bacterial SSU rRNA
Rfam family: Bacterial small subunit ribosomal RNA
Source: RNAcentral
UGCUUAACACAUGCAAGUCGAACGGUCUUUUCGGAGAUAGUGGCGGACGGGUGAGUAACGCGUGAGAACAUGCCUAUCGAUUGGGGACAACAGUUGGAAACGACUGCUAAUACCGAAUGUGCCUUAGGGUGAAAGAUUUAUCGUCGAUAGAUUGGCUCGCGUCAGAUUAGCUAGUUGGUGAGGUAAAGGCUCACCAAGGCGACGAUCUGUAACUGGUCUGAGAGGAUGACCAGUCACACUGGAACUGAGACACGGUCCAGACUCCUACGGGAGGCAGCAGUGGGGAAUUUUCCGCAAUGGGCGAAAGCCUGACGGAGCAAUACCGCGUGUGGGAGGACGCUUUUUGGAGUGUAAACCACUUUUAUUAGGGAAGAAGAACUGACGGUACCUAAUGAAUCAGCAUCGGCUAACUCCGUGCCAGCAGCCGCGGUAAUACGGGGGAUGCAAGCGUUAUCCGGAAUUAUUGGGCGUAAAGCGUCCGUAGGUGGCUUAUCAAGUCUGUUGUCAAAGCGUGCGGCUUAACCGCAUACGGGCGAUGGAAACUGAUGAGCUAGAGUGCGAUAGGGGUCAGGGGAAUUCCCGGUGUAGCGGUGAAAUGCGUAGAUAUCGGGAAGAACACCAGUGGCGAAAGCGCCUGACUGGGUCUGCACUGACACUGAGGGACGAAAGCUAGGGGAGCGAAAAGGGAUUAGAUACCCCUGUAUUCCUAAGCCUUAACGAUGACAAACUUGGUGU